AAGACUGAGGUAAGAGAAUGAGGUCAGAGACUGAGGUAAGAGACUGAGGUCAGAGAAUGAGGACAGAGACUGAAUCCAGAGAAUGAGGACAGAGACUGAGGUCAGAGACUGAGGUCGGAGACUGAGGUAAGAUAAUGAGGUAAGAGACUGAGGUCAGAGAAUGAGGACAGAGACUGAGUCCAGAGAAUGAGGACAGAGACUGAGGUCAGAGACUGAGUCCAGAGAUGGAGGUAAGAGACUGAGGUUGGAGAAUGAGGUCAGAGAAUGAGGUCGGAGAAUGAGGUCAGAGACUGAGGUCAGAGAAUGAGGACAGAGACUGAGUCCAGAGACUGAGGUCCGAGACUGAGGGCAGAGAAUGAGGUCAGAGACUGAGGGCAGAUAAUGAGGUCAGAGACUGAGUCCAAAGAUGGAGGUAAGAGACUGAGGUCAGAGACUGAGGUCAGAGAAUGAGGUCAGAGACUGAGGGCAGAGACUGAGGUCUGAGAAUGAGGACAGAGACUGAGGUUGGAGAAUGAGGUCAGAGAAUGAGGACAGAGACUGAGUCCAGAGACUGAGGUCAGACACUGAAGUCAGAGCAGUAUAAUUCUUUACUUGGUAUGAAAAAGCUUGUCUUUCUUUUCAAAAUGUGAAAACAGUCCUCUGCUCUAUCCUCUUGUCCUAUUAUAUUUCAUGGACUCAAGACCUAAAAGUCCUGUGAGUCCUGCAGGCCUCAGCAGUCUCUGUGUGCAUGUCUCACCUCUCUGACACAUGACGCUGAUGAACCUCCUCACGCUGACUCAGCUCACAACAGAGUGUUUGUGUAAGUGGGCAGAAGUCUAACAGCAUCAUGUUGAUGCUUUUUUAAACUCUGUCAAACAUACUUGAAGCAGUGUGACAAGAGCACAAAGACCGAGACAAAAACGAGCUUCUCCCACUUACUCUUCUUUUG
Labrus mixtus (cuckoo wrasse) is the source of this 928-nucleotide long non-coding RNA. RefSeq lists it as uncharacterized. The record is from RefSeq and is a predicted model, not a curated record. NCBI's taxonomy places the organism in Eukaryota, Metazoa, Chordata, Actinopteri, Labriformes, Labridae. The transcript has 6 exons.